RNAcentral lists this ribosomal RNA (896 nucleotides) under uncultured bacterium. RNAcentral describes it as "bacterial SSU rRNA". It matches the Rfam family "Bacterial small subunit ribosomal RNA", at positions 49 to 932 of the family's 1533-position model. The record is from RNAcentral.
UGGGACGCAAGGGAACACACUGUGCUUGCACACCGUGUUUUCUUGAGUCGCGAACGGGUGAGUAACGCGUAGGUAACCUGCCUAUUAGCGGGGGAUAACUAUUGGAAACGAUAGCUAAUACCGCAUAAUAUUAAUUAUUGCAUGAUAAUUGAUUGAAAGAUGCAAGCGCAUCACUAGUAGAUGGACCUGCGUUGUAUUAGCUAGUUGGUAAGGUAAGAGCUUACCAAGGCGACGAUACAUAGCCGACCUGAGAGGGUGAUCGGCCACACUGGGACUGAGACACGGCCCAGACUCCUACGGGAGGCAGCAGUAGGGAAUCUUCGGCAGUGGACGAAAGUCUGACCGAGCAACGCCGCGUGAGUGAAGAAGGUUUUCGGAUCGUAAAGCUCUGUUGUAAGUCAAGAACGUGUGUGAGAGUGGAAAGUUCACACAGUGACGGUAGCUUACCAGAAAGGGACGGCUAACUACGUGCCAGCAGCCGCGGUAAUACGUAGGUCCCGAGCGUUGUCCGGAUUUAUUGGGCGUAAAGGGAGCGCAGGCGGUCAGGAAAGUCUGGAGUAAAAGGCUAUGGCUCAACCAUAGUGUGCUCUGGAAACUGUCUGACUUGAGUGCAGAAGGGGAGAGUGGAAUUCCAUGUGUAGCGGUGAAAUGCGUAGAUAUAUGGAGGAACACCAGUGGCGAAAGCGGCUCUCUGGUCUGUCACUGACGCUGAGGCUCGAAAGCGUGGGUAGCGAACAGGAUUAGAUACCCUGGUAGUCCACGCCGUAAACGAUGAGUGCUAGGUGUUAGGCCCUUUCCGGGGCUUAGUGCCGGAGCUAACGCAAUAAGCACUCCGCCUGGGGAGUACGACCGCAAGGUUGAAACUCAAAGGAAUUGACGGGGGCCCGCACAAGCGG